CAGUUAAAGCUCGUAGUUGGAUUUCUUGUGCAUGAAGCGGGUCGGCUCAAAGAGUCUGUACUAGCUUUCAUGCACAAUCCUCGUAACAAGCUGUCGGUGAGUUAACUCCAUUCGGCAGUGAGUUGCGUCAUUCACUGUGAACAAAUUAGAGUGUUUAAAGCAGGCAAAUGCUGUGAAUACAUUAGCAUGGAAUAAUAAGAUAGGACCUAGAGUCUAUUUUGUUGGUUGCGAUUUUAGGUAAUGAUUAAUAGGGAUAGUUGGGGGUAUUCAUAUUCAAUUGUCAGAGGUGAAAUUCUUGGAUUUAUGGAAGAUGAACAACUGCGAAAGCAUUUACCAAGGAUGUUUUCAUUAAUCAAGAACGAAAGUUAGGGGAUCGAAGAUGAUUAGAUACCAUCGUAGUCUUAACCAUAAACUAUGCCGACUAGGGAUUGGACCACGCUAUUUAAUGGCAGGUUCAGCACCUUAUGAGAAAUCAAAGUCUUUGGGUUCCGGGGGGAGUAUGGUCGCAAGGCUGAAACUUAAAGGAAUUGACGGAAGGGCACCACCAGGAGUGGAGCCUGCGGCUUAAUUUGACUCAACACGGGAAAAGUAAGUUUCUUAUAUACACAUUAUAUUCUUAAAAUGACUCACUAAUCAUUAUUCUUUUUUAAUUUGGACUUGCAGCUUACCAGGUCCGGACAUAGUAAGGAUUGACAGAUUGAGAGCUCUUUCUUGAUUCUAUGGGUGGUGGUG
RNAcentral lists this ribosomal RNA (732 nucleotides) under uncultured eukaryote. RNAcentral's name for it is "bacterial SSU rRNA". It matches the Rfam family "Eukaryotic small subunit ribosomal RNA", at positions 616 to 1282 of the family's 1831-position model. The record is from RNAcentral.